Molecule: long non-coding RNA, 282 nt
Organism: Phyllopteryx taeniolatus (common seadragon)
Lineage: Eukaryota; Metazoa; Chordata; Actinopteri; Syngnathiformes; Syngnathidae
Exons: 3
Source: RefSeq, a predicted model, not a curated record
AGGUGUAAAAUUAAAUUUACUAGAGAAGAGGAAUUUACAAAUCUGUCCCUCGACCUGAUACCUGGUUGUGGAACAGUAGAGGAAAUGCUUCAAAAUUACCUGAAGAAGACACAGGUAGAGUUUCAAUGUGAGUGUGGUUCCAACGCAUCAUGGCAGAAAGUUUCCUUCAUUAGCCUGCCAAAAGUGCUGGUGUUGCACCUGAAGCGAUUUGUGUUUUUUUCAGUGUUUGGGUCAAUGAAGGUCCGACGGCCUGUUUGCCUUUCUAAGGACUUGAUGCUCCCA